RNAcentral lists this ribosomal RNA (814 nucleotides) under Lactarius cyathuliformis. RNAcentral's name for it is "eukaryotic LSU rRNA". The stretch from base 199 to 352 matches the Rfam family "5.8S ribosomal RNA". The record is from RNAcentral. Lineage: Eukaryota; Fungi; Basidiomycota; Agaricomycetes; Russulales; Russulaceae.
GGGCAUGUGAGGGCUGUCGCUGACUCAAAGUCGUGCACGCCCGAGUGUGUCCUCUCACAUAAUAAUCCAUCUCACCCUUUGUGCAUCGCCGCGUGAGCACCCUUUGGGAUCAUCUCGGAGGGGGCUCGCGUUUUCACACAAACCCCCCUUUUAAAAGUGUAGAAUGACCUCAUUUAUGCGCUAACACGCAAUCAAUACAACUUUCAACAACGGAUCUCUUGGCUCUCGCAUCGAUGAAGAACGCAGCGAAAUGCGAUACGUAAUGUGAAUUGCAGAAUUCAGUGAAUCAUCGAAUCUUUGAACGCACCUUGCGCCCCUUGGUAUUCCGAGGGGCACACCCGUUUGAGUGUCGUGAAAACCUCAACCUCCUUGGUUUCUUCUGGAGACCAAAGGCAGGCUUGGACUUUGGAGGCCCUUGCUGGAACCUCUCUCUUUUGAAGGCCAGCUCCUCUUAAACGAAUUAGCAGGGUCCUCUUUGCCGAUCCUCGACGUGUGAUAAGAUGUUUCCAUGUCUUGGUUUCUGGCUCUGUCACUUUUGGGACCCGCUUCUAACCGUCUUGACCUUGCAUCGAGACAAUGUUCGAGCAUGUCUCCCUUCUCGGGAAGCUCCCUCGACCCCACAAACCCUUGACCUCAAAUCGGGUGAGACUACCCGCUGAACUUAAGCAUAUCAAUAAGCGGAGGAAAAGAAACUAACAAGGAUUCCCCUAGUAACUGCGAGUGAAGCGGGAAAAGCUCAAAUUUAAAAUCUGGCGGUCUUUGGCCGUCCGAGUUGUAAUUUAGAGAAGCGUCUUCCGCGCUGGACCGUGUACAA